GACGAACGCUGGCGGCGUGCUUAACACAUGCAAGUCGAACGGUAAGGCCCUUCGGGGUACACGAGUGGCGAACGGGUGAGUAACACGUGGGUGAUCUGCCCUGCACUUCGGGAUAAGCCUGGGAAACUGGGUCUAAUACCGGAUAGGACCACUGCCUGCAUGGGUGGUGGGGGAAAGCUUUUGCGGUGUGGGAUGGGCCCGCGGCCUAUCAGCUUGUUGGUGGGGGGAUGGCCUACCAAGGCGACGACGGGUAGCCGGCCUGAGAGGGUGACCGGCCACACUGGGACUGAGAUACGGCCCAGACUCCUACGGGAGGCAGCAGUGGGGAUUAUUGCACAAUGGGCGCAAGCCUGAUGCAGCGACGCCGCGUGAGGGAUGACGGCCUUCGGGUUGUAAACCUCUUUCAGCACCGACGAAACGCAAGUGACGGUAGGUGCAGAAGAAGGACCGGCCAACUACGUGCCAGCCGCCGCCGUAA
RNAcentral lists this ribosomal RNA (478 nucleotides) under uncultured bacterium. RNAcentral's name for it is "partial 16S ribosomal RNA". It matches the Rfam family "Bacterial small subunit ribosomal RNA", at positions 28 to 523 of the family's 1533-position model. The record is from RNAcentral.